Long non-coding RNA from Hippocampus comes (tiger tail seahorse), 118 nucleotides. RefSeq lists it as uncharacterized. The record is from RefSeq and is a predicted model, not a curated record. The transcript is spliced from 2 exons. Lineage: Eukaryota; Metazoa; Chordata; Actinopteri; Syngnathiformes; Syngnathidae.
GCAAGUUUUUCCGCUGUCCAUAAUCCCUGUUCUCAAUUAGUCAGAUUACUGGGCCAAAGGCGUACCUGCCAGACUCGGAGGACAUGCGGAAGGGACGCCAACCUGCAUUUGGACACGC